UUGAUCCUACGGGGGGCAGCAGUGGGGAAUAUUGCGCAAUGGACGAAAGUCUGACGCAGCGACGCCGCGUGAGGGAUGAAGGUUUUCGGAUCGUAAACCUCUGUCAGGAGGGAAGAAAGCGCAUGGCGCCAAUCAGCCAUGCGUUUACGGUACCUCCAAAGGAAGCGCCGGCUAACUCCGUGCCAGCAGCCGCGGUAAUACGGAGGGCGCGAGCGUUAAUCGGAAUUACUGGGCGUAAAGCGCGCGUAGGCUGUUGUGUAAGUUGGGUGUGAAAUCCCACGGCUCAACCGUUGACCAGCCCUUGG
Molecule: ribosomal RNA, 305 nt
Filed under: uncultured bacterium
Lineage: Bacteria
Description: bacterial SSU rRNA
Rfam family: Bacterial small subunit ribosomal RNA
Source: RNAcentral